GGACGAAAAUAGUAAUAAACACGCAAUCUUUAUGGACGGAUGAAGUAAUUAGUAUUGAAAUUGGUGAAAAAGUGUUAUAAUUAGUAUUGAAAAUAAUGAAAGAUUGAAAAGCAAGAGUAAAUGAAGUAUUAUUAAUGGUGAGGUAAUGUCCCAAAAUGGAUGUGAAGUUAUUUGGGGGACGUUCCAAAAGUGAAAUAUAAAAAAUUGUUUGGGG
This 214-nucleotide long non-coding RNA is filed under the name Salvia miltiorrhiza (redroot sage). RNAcentral describes it as "long non-coding RNA (SMIL_LNC013846)". Lineage: Eukaryota; Viridiplantae; Streptophyta; Magnoliopsida; Lamiales; Lamiaceae. The record is from RNAcentral.